GAUGAAGAACGCAGCGAAAUGCGAUACGUAAUGUGAAUUGCAGAAUUCAGUGAAUCAUCGAGUCUUUGAACGCACAUUGCGCCCCCUGGUAUUCCGGGGGGCAUGCCUGUCCGAGCGUCAUUGCUGCCCUCAAGCACGGCUUGUGUGUUGGGCCUCCGUCCUCCUCCCGGGGGACGGGCCCGAAAGGCAGCGGCGGCACCGCGUCCGGUCCUCGAGCGUAUGGGGCUUCGUCACCCGCUCUUGUAGGCCCGGCCGGCGCUUGCCGACACAUCAAUCUUUUUUCCAGGUUGACCUCGGAUCAGGUAGGGAUACCCGCUGAACUUAAGCAUAUCAAAAGCGGAGG
This 343-nucleotide unclassified non-coding RNA is filed under the name soil metagenome. RNAcentral describes it as "partial contains 5.8S ribosomal RNA, internal transcribed spacer 2, and large subunit ribosomal RNA". The stretch from base 1 to 120 matches the Rfam family "5.8S ribosomal RNA", at positions 35 to 154 of the family's 154-position model. The record is from RNAcentral.